This 400-nucleotide ribosomal RNA is filed under the name Escherichia coli. RNAcentral describes it as "bacterial SSU rRNA". It matches the Rfam family "Bacterial small subunit ribosomal RNA", at positions 1 to 397 of the family's 1533-position model. Lineage: Bacteria; Pseudomonadati; Pseudomonadota; Gammaproteobacteria; Enterobacterales; Enterobacteriaceae. The record is from RNAcentral.
AAAUUGAAGAGUUUGAUCAUGGCUCAGAUUGAACGCUGGCGGCAGGCCUAACACAUGCAAGUCGAACGGUAACAGGAAUCAGCUUGCUGAUUCGCUGACGAGUGGCGGACGGGUGAGUAAUGUCUGGGAAACUGCCUGAUGGAGGGGGAUAACUACUGGAAACGGUAGCUAAUACCGUAUAACGUCGCAAGACCAAAGAGGGGGACCUUCGGGCCUCUUGCCAUCGGAUGUGCCCAGAUGGGAUUAGCUAGUAGGUGGGGUAACGGCUCACCUAGGCGACGAUCCCUAGCUGGUCUGAGAGGAUGACCAGCCACACUGGAACUGAGACACGGUCCAGACUCCUACGGGAGGCAGCAGUGGGGAAUAUUGCACAAUGGGCGCAAGCCUGAUGCAGCCAUGC